Molecule: ribosomal RNA, 253 nt
Filed under: uncultured bacterium
Lineage: Bacteria
Description: partial 16S ribosomal RNA
Rfam family: Bacterial small subunit ribosomal RNA
Source: RNAcentral
UACGGAGGGUGCAAGCGUUGUUCGGAUUUACUGGGCGUAAAGAGCGUGUAGGUGGUUUAGCAAGUCAGAUGUGAAAGCCCUGGGCUCAACUCAGGAAGUGCAUUUGAAACUGCUAUUCUAGAGUAUGGGAGAGGAGAGUGGAAUUCCCAGUGUAGAGGUGAAAUUCGUAGAUAUUGGGAGGAACACCGGUGGCGAAGGCGACUCUCUGGACCAAUACUGACACUGAGACGCGAAAGCGUGGGGAGCAAACAGG